RNAcentral lists this ribosomal RNA (863 nucleotides) under uncultured bacterium. RNAcentral's name for it is "bacterial SSU rRNA". It matches the Rfam family "Bacterial small subunit ribosomal RNA", at positions 38 to 921 of the family's 1533-position model. The record is from RNAcentral.
GUCACUGCGCAGCUAGCUGGCAGUCGUACAGGUAACCAAGCUUGCUUAGCGGAUUAGUGGCGAACGGGUGAGUAACACGUGAGUAACCUGCCCUUGACUCUGGGAUAAGCGUUGGAAACGACGUCUAAUACCGGAUAUGACCUUCGGAGGCAUCUCCUGGGGGUGGAAAGAUUUUUUGGUCAAGGAUGGACUCGCGGCCUAUCAGGUUGUUGGUGAGGUAAUGGCUCACCAAGCCUACGACGGGUAGCCGGCCUGAGAGGGUGACCGGCCACACUGGGACUGAGACACGGCCCAGACUCCUACGGGAGGCAGCAGUGGGGAAUAUUGCACAAUGGGCGAAAGCCUGAUGCAGCAACGCCGCGUGAGGGAUGACGGCCUUCGGGUUGUAAACCUCUUUUAGUAAGGAAGAAGAACUUCGGUUUGACGGUACUUGCAGAAAAAGCACCGGCUAACUACGUGCCAGCAGCCGCGGUAAUACGUAGGGUGCAAGCGUUGUCCGGAAUUAUUGGGCGUAAAGAGCUCGUAGGCGGUUUGUCGCGUCUGCUGUGAAAACUGGAGGCUCAACCUCCAGCCUGCAGUGGGUACGGGCAGACUAGAGUGCGGUAGGGGAGAUUGGAAUUCCUGGUGUAGCGGUGGAAUGCGCAGAUAUCAGGAGGAACACCGAUGGCGAAGGCAGAUCUCUGGCCGUAACUGACGCUGAGGAGCGAAAGCAUGGGGAGCGAACAGGAUUAUAUACCCUGGUAGUCCAUGCCGUAACGUUGGCACUACAUGUAGGGGCCAUUCACGGUUUCUGUGUCGCAGCUAACGCAUUAAGUUCCCACCUGGGGAUACCGCCGCACUAAACUCAAGGAUUGACGGGGCCC